Lolium rigidum is the source of this 2379-nucleotide long non-coding RNA. RefSeq lists it as uncharacterized. The transcript has 5 exons. The record is from RefSeq and is a predicted model, not a curated record. NCBI's taxonomy places the organism in Eukaryota, Viridiplantae, Streptophyta, Magnoliopsida, Poales, Poaceae.
AGGCAUCGCACUCGAGCCCUCUCCCAUAGACUUGUUCUGGGUCAGGCUCGUGGGCAGGCGCGCGGAGCCGCUUCAUCGACCUCCCUGUCAGUUUUGUCGUGGAGAUGGAUUUGUAUGUCCAGGAGUUUCUUAAACCACACCAUUGGUAUUUAUGGAAUCCAUCGCUGCAGUAGAGAAUGCCCUAGUUCUGCUUACUGGUUCCGUGAGAUGAUGACAUUGAUAAAUAUGUAGACUUUGAAGGCCCACACAUCAUGUUAAUCUGCCGGCUGUUGUCGAAUCUGCCUACGAGUCUGUAAGGUCCCAAAACUAAUAGUGCCAUGCCAUUUUGAUUGUGUCGACCCUCGAUAUAUCUCCAUAAGUUGGAUUUGAGAUUAAUAAUCUUUGGGCCAAGACUGUCUAAAUUUUUUAAGCUACACAUGGUUGGAUUCCUUCUUUUUUCGCAAGUGAAAAAUACAGCAACACAAUCUCAAAAGAAAAAUCUGAAAGCACAUUAUGUGCAUAAUGCAUUAUGUACAUAAUGUAGGUCCAGCCAUAGUUGUACUGAUAACUAAAGGCACAAGUAAGUCCCAAGUCGGUUAUCGGUCGGUUAGGAAUGCUUCUGGUAGAGUGAUAACAAUCCAUGAUGCCCAUGUAUACUGUUAGACUUGAUGUACUGCUUAUCUGUCAAGUGUUUAGAAAUUGCUGCUACCGCAUUUGAUUUCCUUUUACUUGUGGCAUUUGAAUUUUAGCCUUGAAACAGAAAGUGACAAUUUGGUAGCUUUUCCGUGAGUUUUAGGGUGUUUUGCUACAAUUCAGCUUGCUUAUCUGUUGAGUGCUUAGAAAUUGCUGCUAACUCAUUUGAUUUCCUUUUACUUGUGGCAUUUGAAUUUUAGCCUUGAAACAGAAAGUGACCAUUUGGUAGCUCUUCCGUGCGUUUUAGGGUGUUUUGCUACAAUUCAGCUUGCUUGGUAGUGGCAGGCUGCUCACUUAAUAAUGCACAGGAAACUUAUUUUUUCUAUUAUCCAUUGACAUGCCAUAUGAACGAAUAAUAAGUAAAUAGCUAGAUGUUGACACAGAUUCAAGAGUUUAUCAAUACACAAAUGCGCUCCAUUGCUUUUACAGGUUGCUAUUAAUUAGUGCAGUUUUGGUAAACUGGUAUGUAGAUCUAAUAUUGAGGUAUGGCUAUCUGAUAGAAAGAAUCAAAAGUAUCUCUCAGUCAUGUGAGGUUUUGCAUCGGGAAUAUUCCUAGAUAGAUAACAUGACAUCUGAAUGAAUAAUAAGUAGAUAGCUAGACUUUGAAGCAAGGUAGUCAAAAUCUAUAAUCUAGAUGCCGCCAUCAUGGAGCAGAGCAACGGGUCAGGAAGCAGAUAAUGAGGCAGACAAUUAUUCCUGAACACUGCCCCACCAACUUCUUGCUGCCUUGUAGCCUGCAGGUAACUCACUGGGUCUUGUGCCCUGAUCCCUUUGGGCAAGGGCCGGAGCCUCAGGCUUGGGUGCCCUCCCUCCACAGACCUGGGAUGUCCCCUGAAACCUUUUUUGUUUUCCUGUAAUUCGCUUCCUAGGAGGAUUGUGCCAAACUCCUGCUUUCCAAUGAAAUGAAACGCAAAAGUCUUUUGCAUUUUCUCAAAAAAAAAAAUUAUGUCAGCCUAAGCCAUUUGUUAGCUUGCACACCAAGCACGGAUCAGAGUGGUAGAUUUGAAGUGAAGAGUGCUUAGACUAGAGUCUGAAAUAGAUUGUUAUCUCUUAGAUCACUUCAUACUGACCAUAAAAUUCUCAGCCUUGCAGUAAGGCAUGUAGCUGAGUUCCGCAGCGUCAUACAAGAUGGUGCUCACUCACUGUGGGCUGUGGUCAACAGUUGUCUCAGUUGUCACCAGCGGCAUACCUCGUUGUGUGCAGAUCAAUAUCUUCCAGCCACGGUGCAUCUAGUGUAUCUUAUAGAUGGUUCCUAUCACGAGGUUGAUCUGGUUAUGCCCUGCCACUGAUGGUAGUUUCAAGCAGCUGGUUACAUAAUAGAAGGGCAAGAAGGCCAAAAUGCCACCAUAUACGGUUGCCAAAUAGCACCAUGUCAGCGCUGUGCUGGUUCUAGAAAGACUUAGUCAGAGUGCAGCAGAUUGGAUCCGGACUCAAGUGCCUUGGUGUCGGCUCCUUGGGCCUCGACUACAGCACCGUGGCUGGGUACAUUGGAAACCUGCUUGCCUCGCCGGCGUUCACCAUCGUCAACAACUCAACAUCAUGUUCAGGUUCACGUCAACAACUACUUGGCCGUGCCGUACCUCUACUGCUCUGAAAGCUGAAUACUAGAAUUUUUUUUCUCGUUUUGAUGUGUAUAAAGGAACUUGAGAAAACUCUGUUAUCAGUUUUUUGAAUGAAACAUUGUGAGAAAGGUGUAUGUUUUCAGUU